CCUACGGGAGGCAGCAGUAGGGAAUAUUGCUCAAUGGGGGAAACCCUGAAGCAGCAACGCGGCGUGGAGGAUGAAGGUUUUCGGAUUGUAAACUCCUUUUGUUAGAGAAGAUAAUGACGGUAUCUAACGAAUAAGCACCGGCUAACUCCGUGCCAGCAGCCGCGGUAAUACGGAGGGUGCAAGCGUUACUCGGAAUCACUGGGCGGAAAGAGCGCGUAGGCGGGGUAGCAAGUCAGAUGUGAAAUCCUAUGGCUUAACCAUAGAACUGCAUUUGAAACUGUUAUUCUAGAGUAUGGGAGAGGUAGGUGGAAUUCUUGGUGUAGGGGUAAAAUCCGUAGAGAUCAAGAGGAAUACUCAUUGCGAAGGCGACCUGCUAGAACAUAACUGACGCUGAUGCGCGAAAGCGUGGGGAGCAAACAGGAUUAGAUACCCGAGUAGUC
RNAcentral lists this ribosomal RNA (440 nucleotides) under uncultured bacterium. RNAcentral's name for it is "partial 16S ribosomal RNA". It matches the Rfam family "Bacterial small subunit ribosomal RNA", at positions 338 to 795 of the family's 1533-position model. The record is from RNAcentral.